RNAcentral lists this ribosomal RNA (523 nucleotides) under uncultured eukaryote. RNAcentral's name for it is "bacterial SSU rRNA". It matches the Rfam family "Eukaryotic small subunit ribosomal RNA", at positions 621 to 1156 of the family's 1831-position model. The record is from RNAcentral.
UAAAAGCUCGUAGUUGGAUUUCUAGCAGACAUGCGUGGUCCGGACCACUUUGUGGAGCUGAGUAUCGCUGUGUGUCUGUUAUCUUACUAGUUUCAGAUCCUCUGGGUCUUGACUGGUUCUUUUACUUUGAAAAAAUUAGAGUGUUUAAAGCAGGCUUGCGCAAUGAAUACAUUAGCAUGGAAUAAUAACAUAAGACUUUGGUUUUAUUUUGUUGGUUCAUAGCACUAGAGUAAUGAUUGAUAGGGAUAGUUGGGGGUGCUAGUAUUGAGCGGCCAGAGGUGAAAUUCGGGGAUUCGCUCAAGACUAACUUAUGCGAAAGCAUUCACCAAGGAUGUCUUCUUUAAUCAAGAACGAAAGUUGGGGGAUCGAAGACGAUCAGAUACCGUCGUAGUCUCAACCAUAAACUAUACCGACUAAGGAUGAGUGACCGUUGCGUUUCGACUUCAUUCGCACUUUAUGAGAAAUCAAAGUCUUUGGGUUCCGGGGGGAGUAUGGUCGCAAGGCUGAAACUUAAAGGAAUUGA